CAGCCGCCGCGGGAAUACGAAGGGGGCUAGCGUUGUUCGGAUUUACUGGGCGUAAAGCGCACGUAGGCGGAUCCUUAAGUCAGAGGUGAAAUCCCAAGGCUCAACCUUGGAACUGCCUUUGAUACUGGGGAUCUCGAGUUCGGGAGAGGUGAGUGGAACUGCGAGUGUAGAGGUGAAAUUCGUAGAUAUUCGCAAGAACACCAGUGGCGAAGGCGGCUCACUGGCCCGAUACUGACGCUGAGGUGCGAAAGCGUGGGGAGCAAACAGGAUUAGAUACCCGAGUAGUCCCUGUCUCUUAUAA
Molecule: ribosomal RNA, 301 nt
Filed under: uncultured bacterium
Lineage: Bacteria
Description: partial 16S ribosomal RNA
Rfam family: Bacterial small subunit ribosomal RNA
Source: RNAcentral